AGAGUUUGAUCCUGGCUCAGGAUGAACGCUAGCGACAGGCCUAACACAUGCAAGUCGAGGGGCAUCGAGGAUUAGCAAUAAUUUGUCGGCGACCGGCGCACGGGUGAGUAACACGUAUGCAACCUGGCUUCAACACUGGAAUAACCCGUUGAAAGACGGCCUAAUACCGGAUAAAACAGGGACCCCGCCUGGGGAUAUUUGUUAAAGAUUUAUCGGUUGAAGAUGGGCAUGCGUAUGAUUAGCUAGUUGGUGAGGUAACGGCUCACCAAGGCAGCGAUCAUUAGGGGUUCUGAGAGGAAGGUCCCCCACACUGGUACUGAGACACGGACCAGACUCCUACGGGAGGCAGCAGUGAGGAAUAUUGGUCAAUGGGCGCGAGCCUGAACCAGCCAAGUCGCGUGAAGGAAGACGGCCCUACGGGUUGUAAACUUCUUUUGCAAUGGAAUAAAAAGAGUUACGUGUAAUUCAUUGUAUGUACAUUGCGAAUAAGGAUCGGCUAAAUCGCGUGCCAGCAGCCGCGGUAA
Molecule: ribosomal RNA, 524 nt
Filed under: uncultured bacterium
Lineage: Bacteria
Description: bacterial SSU rRNA
Rfam family: Bacterial small subunit ribosomal RNA
Source: RNAcentral